This 795-nucleotide ribosomal RNA is filed under the name Triticum aestivum (bread wheat). RNAcentral describes it as "partial small subunit ribosomal RNA". Lineage: Eukaryota; Viridiplantae; Streptophyta; Magnoliopsida; Poales; Poaceae. The record is from RNAcentral.
AUGGCGCCGCUCGCCGGAGCCGCCGUGGCCUCCUGCAUGAUCCUGCUCCUCCUGCUCGUCCCCUGCGCCCAGGGACAGGGGCAACCACCCGAGGCGUCGGAGGAAGCUUGGGCCGAGGGGCAACCACCGGAGGCGUCGGAAGACGCUCUGACGACGCUCUUAUCCGAGGGCGGGUGCGGCGCCUUCGCCGCCCUCGUCGCCGCGACGGCCGGAGUGGGCGACGCGUUCCGCGAGCAGAUCGCCGGCGACCUGGGGCUCACGCUCCUCUGCCCUGAUGACGAUGCGGUGCGGGCGUUCAUCCCGAGGUUCCAUAGCCUCACCGUCGAGGAGCAGGUCGCGGCCCUCCUGUACCACGGCCUGACGAUGGCCUACUCCGAGGAGCAGCUCAGCUGGGUCCACUGGAAGGUGUCGACGCUUGAUGGGGAGCAGAUGCUCACCGUCCGUCACCACAGAGGCAGGGUGAUACUUUCUUCGUGGCCGCCGUCGUCACGAAACGAGGCCCGGAUCACCAAGACUGUCGUCGGCGACGACCAUCUCGCCGUGUACCUCAUCGACGCCGUGCUGAUUCCGGCAGAUCCCAAGCCUCAAAUGUCGUUCUGGGGCGUUUUGGCAGUUAUCGUCGUCCUUCUAGUACUUCUUGUCGUCGGGAUCGCGGCGAUAGUCCUGCUGUGUCAUGCACUUGUAUAUCUUUGUUCUCUUCUGCCCCGGCUGGGAAGAUGGUGUAAGGGUCGUGUUGCUGCCUACGCUUCGGCCGCCCGUGUCACUCCACAUGCGCAAGGGCAACAAGAACACUAG